Long non-coding RNA from Chiroxiphia lanceolata (lance-tailed manakin), 890 nucleotides. RefSeq lists it as uncharacterized. The record is from RefSeq and is a predicted model, not a curated record. The transcript has 3 exons. Lineage: Eukaryota; Metazoa; Chordata; Aves; Passeriformes; Pipridae.
AUCACACUGUGCUAUUAGCUUCUGCUUCUUCUCAGGUUUCAAAUUUUAAAGGUAAAUGUGUUAUUACAGGAACAGAUUCUACAACUGCAUUAGGCAUUACUGUGUUACCUAUGGUUAUGAGUCUCCAAGAUCCUAAAGUUGUGUCUGUUGUAAUUAAACCUAACUUUGUACCCACAGUGAUUAAUCCAGAGGAUCAAAUAGCACGGGUCAUACCCAUGGAGGAAGAAACCCAGGAUGAACAGGGAAUUUGCAUUAAUUGGGCUCAAAAGGUUACUCUUGACAGACCUAUAAUAGAAUGUACUCUUCUCUCUCCUAAUUCAGGCCAACAGAAAUCUGUGUCUGGCUUACUGGACAAGGGAGCUGACAUUUCCAUAAUCUCUGCCAAAGAUUGGCCCAGCACCUGGGGUACAACAAGACCAGCUGUCGACAUCCAGGGAGUAGGAGGGUCCAAAAUUCCUCUCCAGAGCAUUUUACCACUUCUGGUCCAAGGCCCACAGGAUUUCUUAGCUCCUUUGUUUCAACUCCUUAAAGGAGAAGCAGAACUAACUUCUCCUCGUCAUUUGACACCAGAAGCAGAAAAUAUUAUUGAAGUGAUCAAUCAGAAAAUUUCAGAACAACAGGAGCAGGUCCAAGAUGGAUACCGUCCAGACUAGUAAGGAUCCACCAAGAAGUUUCCCUCCCAACUCAACCAGCAGCAGAUCCAGCACCAACAGAUUCAGCACCAACUACAGGAAGCGAUCCCCUAUCAGCAUCACUUUCGGGAUAAUCCUGUUUCUUGUGUGCAGCAUAACACCAGCAAAUCAGAAAGACUUAACGUCAGGAGCCCUUGCCACACCUCCUCCAACAAUUCCAAAUUGGGUAAUGCUCUCUGGCCAAAAUGUUUGGCUAAA